UGCAGUCACAUCACGUUAAAACACCGGCUAUCGUACGAUCAGAAAAGCUAAGCAACGUCGAUCCUGAUCAGUACCUAGAUGAGUGACCGCUUGGGAAUACCAGGUUCUGUAAG
Acanthosepion pharaonis is the source of this 113-nucleotide non-coding RNA. The record is from the annotation of a GenBank genome assembly. Lineage: Eukaryota; Metazoa; Mollusca; Cephalopoda; Sepiida; Sepiidae.